This 63-nucleotide transfer RNA is filed under the name Ovalipes punctatus. RNAcentral describes it as "tRNA-His". The record is from RNAcentral. Lineage: Eukaryota; Metazoa; Arthropoda; Malacostraca; Decapoda; Ovalipidae.
AUUCAAAUAGUUUAAACAAAACUUUGGCUUGUGGCGCUAAGAAUGUAAUAUUUACUUUGAGUA